Long non-coding RNA from Capsicum annuum, 418 nucleotides. RefSeq lists it as uncharacterized. The record is from RefSeq and is a predicted model, not a curated record. Lineage: Eukaryota; Viridiplantae; Streptophyta; Magnoliopsida; Solanales; Solanaceae. The transcript is spliced from 3 exons.
UCUGCCUCUGCUGCUUUAUAAGUAGAGCUAAACAAAUUUGUCGCGUAACUUCAAACAAAUUUUGCGACCGAAUUUGAAACCGAACUUGUUAUCUGAAAGUUUUACAGAUAUGGGUAGAGAUCAUCUGGGAGGAGUAAUUCUGGGAUUGAUUUUUCGAGGAAAAGACUAUUAAGUAAAAAGGAGGAGAAAACUUCAACAAAUGUUCAUGAGGCAAAGGUGGAUUAUUUGAGUCAGCUAUCAGAUGUUGAUGAGGCAAAGGUGGAUUAUACGAGUCAGCUACCAGAUGAUGUUUUGUCUUCAAUUCUGUCACGUAUGACAAUUAAAGAUGUUGUUAAGACCAGCAUUUUGUCUACAAGGUGGAGAUAUCUGGUUGCUUCUAUGCUUACAUUACAGUUCAGCCUUGACAUGUUUGGCGUUA